RNAcentral lists this ribosomal RNA (424 nucleotides) under uncultured bacterium. RNAcentral describes it as "bacterial SSU rRNA". It matches the Rfam family "Bacterial small subunit ribosomal RNA", at positions 355 to 775 of the family's 1533-position model. The record is from RNAcentral.
UCGAGAAUCUUCGUCAAUGGGCGAAAGCCUGAACGAGCGACGCCGCGUGCGGGAUGAAGGCCUUUGGGUUGUAAACCGCUGUCGAGGGGGAUGAAGGCUCAGUAGUUAUCUGCUGAGUUUGACAGAGCCCUGGAGGAAGCACGGGCUAAGUUCGUGCCAGCAGCCGCGGUAAUACGAACUGUGCGAACGUUAUUCGGAAUCACUGGGCUUACAGGGUGCGUAGGCGGCUUAGCAAGUCAGGUGUGAAAGCCCCCGGCUCAACCGGGGAACUGCGCUUGAAACUGCUGAGCUCGAGUCAGCUAGAGGUACACGGAACUUCCAGUGGAGCGGUGAAAUGUGUUGAUAUUGGAAGGAACACCGGAGGCGAAAGCGGUGUACUGGGGCUGGUCUGACGCUGAGGCACGAAAGCCAGGGGAGCGAACGG